This 1320-nucleotide long non-coding RNA is filed under the name Homo sapiens (human). RNAcentral's name for it is "HSALNT0324129". Lineage: Eukaryota; Metazoa; Chordata; Mammalia; Primates; Hominidae. The record is from RNAcentral.
AUCACCUGCCAUUCCAGUUGAACACUGGCCUCAGGCUCGCCGUGCCUGCUAUUUGACAUCCCUUCCUCUUCUUUGCGCAACUCUUUCCUUUAACCUAGAAUGAUCUCCAGAACGAUUUCCUUUCGCCUACAAUGAUCUCCAGAUGGGGUCCUCUGGGGCCCAAGGGAAGCCCCACCUAGAAGAGAAUGAGGACAGCACAUUGCACUCUCACCUCCUUUGCAGUUAAGUGUGAAAUAGUGCCAAUAGAGUGUAAAAGAAAAGAAAGAAGAUGAUUCACCUCCCAAAGAUUCCCCACUGCUGUGUCCCUUCUAUCAACUUGAUACAAAAAAACACAAUGGCCCCGGGAACCACGUGUUGAAGAUGAGAGAGCUAAAAGAUGGAAAGAGACUGGAGCCCUGAGUCACCACCUGGAGGAAAACUACCCACCCAUCAGGAAUUUCUACUACACAUUUGGGAGUUUUUGGGGUUACAGCAGCUAAUUUAACGAAAACACCCAGAGACAAGAGCUAUUACUGCACAAAUUGGUUAAGUUACCUUUUUGUAUGUUUGGGUCCUCUCUAUUCGAUGAGACUGCGCGUUCCUUUGAAGCAAAUCUGUUUAAAAUUCUUAUAUCCCCAGAGGGCCUAGCAGAGAGUAUGCACAGAGUGAGCCUUCAGUAAAUGCUGAGUAAAUAAGCUCCUAAUGGAUGAAACUGUGUCUUCGAAGUUUGUUCUGACCAGUACUUAGUAUAGGAUUUUGUGCUGUUGGUCACUUUUCAUAAAGGUUCUUGCUAUUAAGGAACUUGACAUCCAAUGUACUCAUAGAAAGUAGAAAUUCAGGGGAAACAAAUAGAAGAGAUAUGUCCAAAAAUCCAUUUAAAAUUUCAUUGACAGAUAUUUAUCUCUUUAAUCCUGGAAGUUGUUUCAUGUAAGGGAAGGUUCAGUAGAAUGAAAACAGGACUGUAAGCUGGGAGGAGAUUUGGGGUCUCUUGGCCAACUCUGCCACAAAUUGUGUUACCUUCAACUUCCCUGCCUGUAAAAUGAAGUCAGUGGUCCCUAAAAUGAAAUUGGACUAAUGGCAAAUUAGCUAGCAUUUGAUUAUACAUCGAUAGUUUCCCCAUGUGAUUUUAACGCACAAAUCAGAUUUUGGAACCAUUAGGUAGGUGAUCUUAUCUUAUGAGUUUAUCUUUUUCAACAUGGAAAAAUAAAUUUGUUUUGCUGACCGAAGGCUGUGUAACUUAGAACUGGAAAGAGACAUGUAAUUGAAUAACCCAUCUCUAUGGGGCAAAAAAAUGAAACACCUUUAGUUUGUUCAAAGAUGAAAUGGAAAAAUAAACAUGUU